Molecule: ribosomal RNA, 259 nt
Filed under: uncultured bacterium
Lineage: Bacteria
Description: partial 16S ribosomal RNA
Rfam family: Bacterial small subunit ribosomal RNA
Source: RNAcentral
GCAAGUCGAACGAUCUACUGUAAUGUAGAUAGUGGCAAAAGGGUGAGUAAUACGUGGGUAAUCUGCCCUAAAGUUGAGAAUAACCAGCCAAAAGGCUGGCUAAUACUGGAUGAGACCACACUAUCUUUGGAUAGAGAGGUUAAAGCUGGGGACCCCAACAGGGCCUGGCGCUUUAGGAUGAGCUCGCGCCCUAUCAGCUUGUUGGUGAGGUAAAGGCUCACCAAGGCAUUUGACGGGUAGCUGGUCUGAGAGGAUGGUC